This 274-nucleotide ribosomal RNA is filed under the name uncultured bacterium. RNAcentral describes it as "partial 16S ribosomal RNA". It matches the Rfam family "Bacterial small subunit ribosomal RNA", at positions 523 to 796 of the family's 1533-position model. The record is from RNAcentral.
AUACAGAGGGUGCAAGCGUUAAUCGGAAUUACUGGGCGUAAAGCGCACGUAGGUGGUUCAUUAAGUCAGAUGUGAAAGCCCCGGGCUCAACCUGGGAACUGCAUUUGAAACUGGUGAGCUAGAGUAUGGUAGAGGUAAGUGGAAUUCCAGGUGUAGCGGUGAAAUGCGUAGAUAUCUGGAGGAACAUCAGUGGCGAAGGCGACUUACUGGACCAAUACUGGCACUGAGGUGCGAAAGCGUGGGGAGCAAACAGGAUUAGAAACCCCAGUAGUCC